UGUAUAUUCUCUUUUUUUGUGAAAACAUUUACCAUAGUAAUGUAUAUUUUUUUAACACCAUCAGAAAGUAGAGAUUUCAACGAACAAAAAAAGUCACCGACUUU
This is a long non-coding RNA of Melitaea cinxia (Glanville fritillary), 104 nucleotides long. RefSeq lists it as uncharacterized. The transcript is spliced from 4 exons. Lineage: Eukaryota; Metazoa; Arthropoda; Insecta; Lepidoptera; Nymphalidae. The record is from RefSeq and is a predicted model, not a curated record.